This 560-nucleotide long non-coding RNA is filed under the name Polistes fuscatus (common paper wasp). RNAcentral describes it as "uncharacterized LOC122513956". Lineage: Eukaryota; Metazoa; Arthropoda; Insecta; Hymenoptera; Vespidae. The record is from RNAcentral.
AUGUUUGAUUAGGAUGCCAUCGAGCUUUACAAUGGUAACAAAAGUAUGAAUCGCAACCGGGUCUUUCGCAUCGUAAUUUUGGGCACGAUGCGCAACCACUUGCGAUUACAGCAAAACUACAAUCCGGCGCUGGACACCAUCUUGCGUCGGGUUCGACAGCAAGAACUCUUCGUACCAUAAAAUCUUCAUAUUUUUCUAACUGAGCUGAAUCAUUUAGAAUCAUUCGAAUAUCUGUUAACAAUUAAAACCAAAACAAAGGAUGAAGUGGUUCUGAACAUACAGGACAAGCUAUAUUAACUCUUGAUUCGGAAAUCUCGAUCUUAAGGUAUUGUUGGAAGCAAUCAUAGCAGGUACGAUGAUGACAAGAUUGUAUAACAGGAAAUAAUUCAAUUGGUAGAUCGGCUAAACAUAGCGGACACUCCAUUAAUCCACUCUCAUUACUCUGUAAUAGAAAAUACGAGGAAGAUGUUAAUACAGGCAAGAAUUAUUCAAUCUCGGGAAAAUACUAUUAUUAGAAAAAUAUCUUAUUCUUUUGACCAAAGGUCGAAAUAUUGAUGACA